RNAcentral lists this long non-coding RNA (235 nucleotides) under Glycine max (soybean). RNAcentral's name for it is "long non-coding RNA (GMAX_LNC004151)". Lineage: Eukaryota; Viridiplantae; Streptophyta; Magnoliopsida; Fabales; Fabaceae. The record is from RNAcentral.
CACUUCUUAUUCUCUCGAAAUUCCUGAGGAAAAUUAUUUCCGUGAAGAAAAUCCAAGCCGAGGCGCUUCCGUAACGUUUCCGUGAGUAAUUACGCGAAGAUUCUCGACCGUUCUUCAACAUUCAUCGUUGGUUCUUCAUUUUCUUCAGUCUUCAACGGGUAAGUAUUUCAAACCGAGCCUUUUAAUUCAUUCUAUGUACUCGUGGUGGUCCACAUUUUGUUUCAUGUAUUUUUAU